AGUCGAUUGUGAUCGCUUGAAUUUCGUGGUUUUCUGGGUUUUCUGUGCUUAUCAUUUUACCGGCUCUCGGAUAGAAGAACCUUGUGCUUGCUGUUUUUAAUCCUGACAGCUCAGAUAGGACGAAAAAGACCCUAUCUAAAGUAAUUUAAAGCAAAUCAAGUUGAAGUCUCUCCAGAGUGAGAGGAUUACGAUAGAAGAUCACUCCUGCAGAGCAAAGAUGUCGACUCUUCAGAUGAUGCGUCCCAAGCAGAGUCAGAUGACUGGCACGUGGUCGUCGGUGUUCCCCGUGGAGCAGGCCACGGCGCAGCAGUCGGCCCAGUUCGUCAAGAAGCUGCUGGCCGUGGCCGUCUCCAACCUGACCUACCUGCGCGCCAUCUUCCCGGAGCAGGCCUUCGGCGAGCGCACCCUCGACGGCCUCCAGCUCAAGGUGCUGCGGGACGACGCCGGCUGCCCGGGCGCCUGGCAGAUCACUCAGUGGAUCAAAGCCUGCUUCGACGCACUCGACAAAAAAUACCUGCGGCAGCUGACCGUGGUGCUGUACCUGGACCCGUCCGACCCGGACACCGUCAUCGAGUCCUACACGUUCCGCUUCACCUACUCGUCGUCCGGCGGCGUCAGCAUGCAGCACGGCUCCGACGGCGACGGGCAGCCGGCCUCGAUACCGGCGACCGUUACCAGCGAGGAGACCUACAAAGCCACCGUGCGAAUGCUGCGCACUAUCGUGGUGCUAACGCAGACGCUGCGGCCGCUGCCCGACGACGUCAUGAUGUCCAUGAAGCUGCUCUACUUUGACGAUGUGACGCCUCCCGACUACGAGCCGCCGGGCUUCCGGCCGGCCGAGACCCACCAGAUCUUCUUCAGCUCAGAGCCCAUCAACGUGCGCGUGGGCGACGUGUGCACUCCGCACCACACGGUCAAACUGCGCCUCAAGACCGACUCGAGUCAGUUCGUGCCGCAGGAGGGCGACGACGAGACCAUCGAACAUGCAACGGUGAAAACCGCUCCUUCGGUGGAGAGUGCAGUGCCUCAGGUGCGGGACCAGGAGCGCCCCUCCACCUCCAGCCAGCAGCGUCAGCCGAGGCCCAGGGAGCCGGCCGCCGCCGCGGAGCCGGAGCCCAGUCUGGCCGAGAGUGUGAGCGGCAGGAGCCCUGGUCUGCCCGCGUCAGCAGUAGACACCAGCGGCACCCCGGCCGCCGGAGCGGUGCCCGAAGCCGAGGACGAGCCACGCGUGCUGUGCGUGUGCGGCGUGCACGAGGACGACGGUCUGAUGGUGCUCUGUGAGCUCUGCCACAACUGGCAGCAUGGUAUCUGUUUCCUGGUGCUUAGUGAGGACGAGGCGCCGGCCAGCCACAUUUGUGACACGUGCGCUCUGGCCUCGGGACGACCGUGCACGGAUGCCCGGCUGCCGGCACUCGCCAGGUCCACACGCAUGGCCACCUGCCUGUACCGGCGCGGCCUGUGCGCCUGUGAGGAGAUGUCGCGCGUUCAGCCGGCCCGGCUGGCGCAGCGUCUCGGCGUGGACGUGGCCGUGGCCUCUGGUCUGAUGAGCCGACUGGACAAGGAUGGCCUGUUGAAGCCACUCUCCAACAGGUCCAAGGCACGGUCCGUGUGGUGGACAAGGAGCGACUGCUGAACGAGGCCUUCCCCCGCUACCUGAACCGGCCGGCCCCGGCCGCAGCGCACCGACCCGCCGGCGGACACCAGGCGGUGGACGAGGUGGCUGAGCGGGCCGGCAGGAUGGAACUGGACGGGCCGGAGGACGGCGACCACUCUCCGCCGGCCACCCCGCGCACCGGUCCCUCCGGGGACGGGCCCGAGCCGCG
This 1823-nucleotide unclassified non-coding RNA is filed under the name Amphibalanus amphitrite. RNAcentral's name for it is "hORMA domain-containing protein 2-like, transcript variant X2". The record is from RNAcentral. Lineage: Eukaryota; Metazoa; Arthropoda; Thecostraca; Balanomorpha; Balanidae.